RNAcentral lists this ribosomal RNA (397 nucleotides) under uncultured bacterium. Its description in RNAcentral is "partial 16S ribosomal RNA". It matches the Rfam family "Bacterial small subunit ribosomal RNA", at positions 523 to 918 of the family's 1533-position model. The record is from RNAcentral.
AUACGUAGGAUGCGAGCGUUAUCCGGAAUUAUUGGGCGUAAAGCGCGCGCAGGCGGUCCUUUAAGUCUGAUGUGAAAGCCCACGGCUCAACCGUGGAGGGUCAUUGGAAACUGGGGGACUUGAGUGCAGAAGAGGAAAGUGGAAUUCCAAGUGUAGCGGUGAAAUGCGUAGAGAUUUGGAGGAACACCAGUGGCGAAGGCGAGUUGUUGGGCUGUCACAGCCGCUGAGGCGCGAAAGCGUUGGGAGCAAACAGGAUUAGAUUCCCUGGUCGUCCACGCCGUAAACGAUGAGUGCUAAGUGUUAGGGGGUUUCCGCCCCUUAGUGCUGUAGCUAACGCAUUAAGCACUCCGCCUGGGGAGUACGGGCGCAAGACUGAAACUCAAAUGAAUUGACGGGG